UACGAAGGGGGCUAGCGUUACUCGGAUUGACUGGGCGUAAAGAGCUCGUAGGCGGCUUGUCACGUCGGGUGUGAAAGCCCGGGGCUUAACCCCGGGUCUGCAUUCGAUACGGGCAGGCUAGAGUGUGGUAGGGGAGAUCGGAAUUCCUGGUGUAGCGGUGAAAUGCGCAGAUAUCAGGAGGAACACCGGUGGCGAAGGCGGAUCGCUGGGCCAUUACUGACGCUGAGGAGCGAAAGCGUGGGGAGCGAACAGG
This 253-nucleotide ribosomal RNA is filed under the name uncultured bacterium. RNAcentral's name for it is "partial 16S ribosomal RNA". It matches the Rfam family "Bacterial small subunit ribosomal RNA", at positions 524 to 776 of the family's 1533-position model. The record is from RNAcentral.